This is a long non-coding RNA of Zophobas morio, 958 nucleotides long. RefSeq lists it as uncharacterized. NCBI's taxonomy places the organism in Eukaryota, Metazoa, Arthropoda, Insecta, Coleoptera, Tenebrionidae. The record is from RefSeq and is a predicted model, not a curated record. The transcript has 4 exons.
UUUCUUUCGCUUUCUAUCUUUUGGCCCUGGGGCCUUUAUUUGUCAGUUAAACUACACUUCCUCUUUGGAGGGUUCCCCCUUGUCUUAGAUUUUGCUCCUUGGUCACAGGUGAAGGGUUGCUUUCCGAGAGUUUAGAAAGAAGCUAUGCCUUUUUGUCUUUUCUCUUGGGGGAAAGUCCCCGGACGACCGCCAGAGAUGGCCUGCUCUGAAGGGUAGAGCGCAACUAGUUUGGCGAGACCUUGACCCAUGACCCCUUGGGGUGAAAGUAGGGAUAGGUCCAGUUGUCUCGUUCUUAGUUGCGUUUUUCGUCGUAGCAAAGUUAUGCAACCACCUUGAGUAAAUAAUGUUUAUCAAGGGAACCAAACGGGGCUUACUCUCCUCGUGACCUUUUUUCUUAUUUCUCCUAUUAACUGAUUUUAUUUUACCUACUAUAAUGAACCACUUUUUUUGUUAAUGGUGAUGAAGCUCAAAUCCAGCUCACAUUGAGGGUUUAACUCGGUGAUAAGUUGGUUUCACGACAGUCUUCUGAAUUAAUUGCUUUAACUGUCACUUUUUUUUUUUGGCUUGCAUGGUCGCCUCUUCUGGUGAUAGUUAUUACCGGUUUUAUGCUACCUCAGGUCGACCGGUGGAGCCCGGAAAAUAAGCCUUUGCUACUCAGCCUUUAGAGCAGUCAUUAUUAGUCUUUCACGCUUGCAGUUAUUAAAAACCAUGCGAGAUGACGACUGAGCGCAAGUGUAGACGAAAACUGCAAUGAAAGGCAAUGCACAUGCCUACGAAUCCAUUGUGGAGCUGCACGACUAAUUUUCCUACUAACCACUUUUACCUGUUUACCCCUUGGAAAUUUUUUGUGUUUCAGUAGCGGACUGAAAGGAUUAAAUGAAUAGCGUAAGAAGAUAAGAAGAAAAUAAAUUAGCAGGUUCAAGAUGUACAUGUCAUUUCAAAAAGGGGACCUGCUUGU